AAUCAACGCUGGCGGCGUGCCUAACACAUGCAAGUCGAACGCGAAAGUCCCGCAAGGGAUUAGUAGAGUGGCAAACGGGUGAGUAACACGCGGGUGACCUGCCUUCGAGCGGGGGAUAACGUCCCGAAAGGGACGCUAAUACCGCAUAACAUCCUGCCUUUUAAGAGGUGGAGAUCAAAGCCGGGGAUUCGCAAGAACCUGGCACUUGAAGAGGGGCCCGCGCCUGAUUAGCUAGNGGUGGGGUAAUGGCCUACCAAGGCAACGAUCAGUAUCCGGCCUGAGAGGGCGGACGGACACACUGGGACUGAGACACGGCCCAGACUCCUACGGGAGGCAGCAGUGGGGAAUUGUUCGCAAUGGGCGCAAGCCUGACGACGCAACGCCGCGUGGAGGAUGAAGACC
Molecule: ribosomal RNA, 402 nt
Filed under: uncultured bacterium
Lineage: Bacteria
Description: bacterial SSU rRNA
Rfam family: Bacterial small subunit ribosomal RNA
Source: RNAcentral